UGGCUCCGCCGCGCCCACCAGAGCACCGCCCCCGCCCCGCCCCGCCCCGCCUGCUCCGAGCCCCGACCCGGCCCGCGGCGAGCGUCAGGGGAAGGAAUCCCCCGGCACCUGGGCCCUGCACCGACACUCGCGGCUGCGGCAGAGGGCUUCUCCCCGGCGGGGAGCGCGCCCCUCUCUGGGCAGAGUGGGGGAAUCCCGGGGCCGGCGCCUCCCUGGCGGAGCUGGGGGAGGGGAACCACCUGGAGCCUGGAGGGCGUGCGAGGGCGAGGUGAGCGGACCUGCGCAGGAGGACUGACGUUGGAGGGUGAGAAGCAUAUCUGGGGUCUCAACAGCCCCCAUCGGUGUACGCUCAACUCUCCAUGACGCGAGGGGUAAGAAGAGUGCCUACUCACCAGGCCCAAGGGGAGGAUUACAUGGGAUGAAGUGUGCAAAUUUCCUGCAGUGGUACCUAGUGCUGGUAAGCAACUGAUCCACAUAACUCUUACUAUUCAGACUUGUUCACUUGCUUUUGGUGCAUAGUUCCU
This 524-nucleotide long non-coding RNA is filed under the name Rhinopithecus bieti (black snub-nosed monkey). Its description in RNAcentral is "lncRNA (ENSRBIG00000045077.1)". Lineage: Eukaryota; Metazoa; Chordata; Mammalia; Primates; Cercopithecidae. The record is from RNAcentral.